AAAAAAAGAGUAGGAAUAAGAGAUAAGGGGGAGUGGAGACGUGGGGAACGUUACAAACAGUGUGACGUCUCCUGCCGCUUCCUCGCUCCAUCUCGCUCGCUCUCACUCACUCUCACUCUCGCCAGCGCUACACCGCUGAUCCCCAACGUCUUCUAUCUUCCGUCUCACUUUCGCGAUCCACGCGCUCAUUUGUUAAUCACCCAAAAAAAAAAAAUAACUAAAAGAAAAGAAAGAAAAAUAGGGGACAAAAUCUGGUGGUGCUGUGCCGAUAUGAUUUUUCGGUUUAUUUAUUUUGUUUCGCUUCUCUUUGUUGCCUUGUGGUCAUGCGUUUGGGAUUUAAUUCGGUUUUGGGUCUCUGAUUGGCGUUCUUUUCCGGCCCCCGCAUUCCUAUGGCUCCCCUUCGCCCACCCAACCCAAAAUGACUCAUCACUAGCACUGGAAGUGGAUCACAGGCUGCACAUAUCGAUAGUUAUUAUCGGAAGUAAAAUGUUUGCGCUAAGCAAUGUAAAGAGAUAAACCUAAUAACCGUUAUAAUAGAUCAUAAAGUUAUCGAAAAUAUCGAUAGUAGUGAGGGGAUUAGCAAGUCUUCCAAUGGAAGUCACACUGUGCUUGGUGACGGUUUGGUCGAAACGUGUUUUGCUAAUUAGCGGCCGCCGAAUAGGGUUGCCAACUGUUGCUAUUAGCAUUUUCCUUCCAAUAAUUGUCAACGGCAUGUUGGAUGAGGAGAAGAAGAAGACGAACGAAGUGAAGCGAAAGGGGAAUGGCGGAGAGAAGAAAGCAAAAGCCGGCCCGUCAUAACGGCACACGAUGCAACUUUCUGACAAUGCAAGUAGUGUGUGUACUUUGUGUACGUGUGUAGGUGAGUGAGCUGGAAGAUAAAGAAGACGAGGAGGGACGAGGAGACUCGUGCAAAAA
RNAcentral lists this small RNA (915 nucleotides) under Drosophila ananassae. Its description in RNAcentral is "GF26443". Lineage: Eukaryota; Metazoa; Arthropoda; Insecta; Diptera; Drosophilidae. The record is from RNAcentral.